AACAUCGCGCACCUGCGGGAACCUCGGAGGGAUCAUUACAGAGUUGCAAAACUCCCUAAACCAUUGUGAACGUUACCUAAACCGUUGCUUCGGCGGGCGGCCCGGGUCCUUCCCGGCGCCCCUCGGCCCUCGCGGGCGCCCGCCGGAGGUAAACCAAACUAUUGCAUUGUAUGGCCUCUCUGAGUCUUCUGUACUGAAUAAGUCAAAACUUUCAACAAUGGAUCUCAGAUCGGAAGAGCA
RNAcentral lists this unclassified non-coding RNA (240 nucleotides) under soil metagenome. RNAcentral describes it as "partial contains 5.8S ribosomal RNA, internal transcribed spacer 2, and large subunit ribosomal RNA". The record is from RNAcentral.